RNAcentral lists this ribosomal RNA (1317 nucleotides) under metagenome. Its description in RNAcentral is "bacterial LSU rRNA". It matches the Rfam family "Bacterial large subunit ribosomal RNA", at positions 1635 to 2925 of the family's 2925-position model. The record is from RNAcentral.
UAUUGGACCGUACCGUAAACCGACACUGGUGGGUGAGCAGAUAAUCUGCCAAGGCGCUUGAGAGAACUCGGGUUAAGGAACUCUGCAAAUUGAUACCGUAACUUCGGAAGAAGGUAUGCCUUCGACGGUGUAGGGAUUUACUCCCGAAGCUGUUGAAGGUCGCAGGUAAUCGGUGGCUGCGACUGUUUAUCAAAAACACAGGACUCUGCGAACACGCAAGUGGAAGUAUAGGGUCUGACGCCUGCCCGGUGCCGGAAGGUUAAUUGAUGGGGUUAGCCGCAAGGCGAAGCUCUUGAUCGAAGCCCCGGUAAACGGCGGCCGUAACGAUAACGGUCCUAAGGUAGCGAAAUUCCUUGUCGGGUAAGUUCCGACCUGCACGAAUGGCGUAACGCUGGCCACACUGUCUCGACCCGAGACUCAGUGAAGUUGAAAUCGCUGUGAAGAUGCGGCGUUCCCGCGGCAAGACGGAAAGACCCCGUGAACCUUCACUACAGCUUUACACUGAACUUUGAACCUUUCUGUGUAGGAUAGGUGGGUGGCUAUGAAACUUGGGCGCUAGCUCGAGUGGAGCCAACCUUGAAAUACCACCCUGGGAUGUUUGAAGUUCUAACCUUGGUCCGUAAUCCGGAUUGGGGACAGUGUAUGGUGGGUAGUUUGACUGGGGCGGUCUCCUCCCAAAGAGUAACGGAGGAGUGCAAUGGUACGCUCAGCGCGGUCGGUCAUCGCGCUCUAGAGUGCAAAGGCAUAAGCGUGCUUAACUGUGAGACAGACACGUCGAACAGGUACGAAAGUAGGUCUUAGUGAUCCGGUGGUUCUGUAUGGAAGGGCCAUCGCUCAACGGAUAAAAGGUACUCCGGGGAUAACAGGCUUAUUCCUCCCAAGAGUCCACAUCGACGGAGGAGUUUGGCACCUCGAUGUCGGCUCAUCACAUCCUGGGGCUGUAGCAGGUCCCAAGGGUAUGGCUGUUCGCCAUUUAAAGUGGUACGCGAGCUGGGUUCAGAACGUCGUGAGACAGUUCGGUCCCUAUCUGCCGUGGGCGUUGGAAACUUGAGGGUGAGCUGUCCUUAGUACGAGAGGACCGGGAUGGACGUAUCUCUGGUGUUCCGGUUGUCACGCCAGUGGCACUGCCGGGUAGCUAUAUACGGACGGGAUAAGCGCUGAAAGCAUCUAAGCGCGAAGCCCCCCCCAAGAUUAGGUUUCCCUGGGAACUCGAUUCCCCUAAAGGGCCGUCGGAGACUACGACGUUGAUAGGCUGGGUGUGUAAGUGCAGCAAUGCAUUGAGCUAACCAGUACUAAUUGCCCGUGAGGCUUGACCUC